RNAcentral lists this ribosomal RNA (501 nucleotides) under uncultured bacterium. RNAcentral's name for it is "bacterial SSU rRNA". It matches the Rfam family "Bacterial small subunit ribosomal RNA", at positions 28 to 521 of the family's 1533-position model. The record is from RNAcentral.
GAUGAACGCUAGCGACAGGCUUAACACAUGCAAGUCGAGGGGCAGCGAGGGCGUAGCAAUACGCCUGUCGGCGACCGGCGCACUGGUGAGUAACACGUAUGCGACCUGCCCCCUACAGGGGUAUAACCCGUAGAAAUGCGGACUAAUCCCCCAUAGUCCUGGGUGCUGCAUGGCAUUCAGGGGAAAGGCCAGCCGGUAGGGGAUGGGCAUGCGGCGCAUUAGCUAGUUGGCGGGGCAACGGCCCACCAAGGCGACGAUGCGUAGGGGUUCUGAGAGGAAGGUCCCCCACACUGGUACUGAGACACGGACCAGACUCCUACGGGAGGCAGCAGUGAGGAAUAUUGGUCAAUGGGCGCAGGCCUGAACCAGCCAAGUCGCGUGAGGGAUGACGGUCCUACGGAUUGUAAACCUCUUUGUCGGGGAGUAACGUGCGGGACGCGUCCCGUAGUUGAGAGUACCCGAAGAAAAAGCAUCGGCUAACUCCGUGCCAGCAGCCGCGGU